CCUACGGGGGGCUGCAGUGGGGAAUAUUGCACAAUGGGCGCAAGCCUGAUGCAGCCAUGCCGCGUGUGUGAAGAAGGCCUUCGGGUUGUAAAGCACUUUCAGCGGGGAGGAAGGCGUUAAGGUUAAUAACCUUGGCGAUUGACGUUACCCGCAGAAGAAGCACCGGCUAACUCCGUGCCAGCAGCCGCGGUAAUACGGAGGGUGCAAGCGUUAAUCGGAAUUACUGGGCGUAAAGCGCACGCAGGCGGUCUGUCAAGUCGGAUGUGAAAUCCCCGGGCUCAACCUGGGAACUGCAUUCGAAACUGGCAGGCUAGAGUCUUGUAGGGGGGGGUAAAAUUCCAGGUGUAGCGGUGAAAUGCGUAGAGAUCUGGAGGAAUACCGGUGGCGAAGGCGGCCCCCUGGACAAAGACUGACGCUCAGGUGCGAAAGCGUGGGGAGCAAACAGGAUUAGUACCCUGGUAGUC
Molecule: ribosomal RNA, 464 nt
Filed under: uncultured Klebsiella sp.
Lineage: Bacteria; Pseudomonadati; Pseudomonadota; Gammaproteobacteria; Enterobacterales; Enterobacteriaceae
Description: bacterial SSU rRNA
Rfam family: Bacterial small subunit ribosomal RNA
Source: RNAcentral